RNAcentral lists this small nucleolar RNA (160 nucleotides) under Notamacropus eugenii (tammar wallaby). RNAcentral's name for it is "Small nucleolar RNA ACA59 (ENSMEUG00000018040.1)". Lineage: Eukaryota; Metazoa; Chordata; Mammalia; Diprotodontia; Macropodidae. The record is from RNAcentral.
GCCCGGAGUUAGGAAAACCUGAAUUUAGAUACAGGCUCAGACAUUUACUAACUAUGGGACCUUGGGUAAGUCACUUAACUUCUGUUUGCCUCAGUUUCCUGAACUGUAAAGUGGGGAUAAUAAUAUCGCCCACUUCCCAGGGUUGUUGUGAGGAUCAAAU